GCGCCUAACACAUGCAAGUCGAACGGAGCUGUUUUCUCUGAAGUUUUCGGAUGGAAGAGAGUUCAGCUUAGUGGCGAACGGGUGAGUAACACGUGAGCAACCUGCCUUUCAGUGGGGGACAACAUUUGGAAACGAAUGCUAAUACCGCAUAAGACCACAGUGUCGCAUGGCACAGGGGUCAAAGGAUUUAUCCGCUGAAAGAUGGGCUCGCGUCCGAUUAGCUAGAUGGUGAGGUAACGGCCCACCAUGGCAACGAUCGGUAGCCGGACUGAGAGGUUGAACGGCCACAUUGGGACUGAGACACGGCCCAGACUCCUACGGGAGGCAGCAGUGGGGAAUAUUGCACAAUGGGGGAAACCCUGAUGCAGCGACGCCGCGUGGAGGAAGAAGGUCUUCGGAUUGUAAACUCCUGUCCCAGGGGACGGUAAUGACGGUACCCUGGGAGGAAGCACCGGCUAACUACGUGCCAGCAGCCGCGGUAAAACGUAGGGUGCAAGCGUUGUCCGGAAUUACUGGGUGUAAAGGGAGCGCAGGCGGAUUGGCAAGUUGGGAGUGAAAUCUAUGGGCUCAACCCAUAAAUUGCUUUCAAAACUGUCAGUCUUGAGUGGUGUAGAGGUAGGCGGAAUUCCCGGUGUAGCGGUGGAUGCGUAGAUAUCGGGAGGACACCAGUGGCGAAGGCGGCCUACUGGGCACUAACUGAC
Molecule: ribosomal RNA, 701 nt
Filed under: uncultured Lachnospiraceae bacterium
Lineage: Bacteria; Bacillati; Bacillota; Clostridia; Lachnospirales; Lachnospiraceae
Description: bacterial SSU rRNA
Rfam family: Bacterial small subunit ribosomal RNA
Source: RNAcentral